GAUGAACGCUGGCGGCGUGGAUAAGGCAUGCAAGUCGAACGCCCCGCAAGGGGAGUGGCAGACGGGUGAGUAACGCGUGGGAAUCUACCCAUCUCUGCGGAAUAGCUCCGGGAAACUGGAGUUAAUACCGCAUACGCCCUACGGGGGAAAGAUUUAUCGGGGAUGGAUGAGCCCGCGUUGGAUUAGCUAGUUGGUGGGGUAAAGGCCUACCAAGGCGACGAUCCAUAGCUGGUCUGAGAGGAUGAUCAGCCACAUUGGGACUGAGACACGGCCCAAACUCCUACGGGAGGCAGCAGUGGGGAAUAUUGGACAAUGGGCGAAAGCUUGAUCCAGCCAUGCCGCGUGAGGGAUGAAGGCCUUAGGGUUGUAAAGCUCUUUCACCGGUGAAGAUAAUGACGGUAACCGGAGAAGAAGCCCCGGCUAACUUCGUGCCAGCCGCCGCCGUAA
RNAcentral lists this ribosomal RNA (447 nucleotides) under uncultured bacterium. Its description in RNAcentral is "partial 16S ribosomal RNA". It matches the Rfam family "Bacterial small subunit ribosomal RNA", at positions 28 to 523 of the family's 1533-position model. The record is from RNAcentral.